AAUUACGUAAAUUACCGUGUCCAUUUACAAACGAUGAUUAAAUCGGAUGGUGGUUAUUAAUCUUCACUCUAGUGAUAUAAAAUAUCGAUUCGUGAUUUGUGAUAUUACCAAUGAAGAUUAUUUUUACCACACUGCGGUGCUUAAUUUAAACGCUCUAUGGCGAAAUGCGACGUAAUUAGAAAGGUUUUUGUCUGGUGUUUAAUUUUACUUUAUCUUACAUACGAUGUCCAAACAAAAGAGAAAGUUAAGAAACAGAAAUAUAUUAAACACAAGUAUAAAUGCUUUAAUGUUGGAUUUCGGUGUAUCCACGAUUACGAUUGCUGCACCUGGAAAUGCAACAUUGGUGCUUUCUCUGUUUACGGGAUAUGCGAGAUUUUGGACAAAUCUAAAGCUGUAACUCAAAUGCCAUUACAGAAACAGUAGGUAAAUCACAAAUCUAUGCCUGUAGAUAUGUUAAAUAACCUAUUUUACAUUAUUUACAAUUAUAAUUUCAAUGUUAUGUAGGCCUAAAUAAGUUACAAUAAAAUGUGAAAUUCGUAUUACAUAAUGUACAUGCUGUAAGAUUUAGGAUUGUUAAUAUAUAUAUAUUGGAGUUCCAGAAUACAUAUUUACCUGUAUAUGUUAAAAAGACACAAACUGUAGAAUAUGGAUAUUUUUAUUUUCUACUAUUAUACCGGAUUAUAAUAUACUGUGUUAAAUAUGUAGUCUUUUGAACCUUAUUAUAAGAUGUUAUAAACAUUUUCCUAACAGUUAAAAUUUAAGAAAAUAAUAAAAAAGAUUAAAACAA
Molecule: long non-coding RNA, 787 nt
Organism: Macrosteles quadrilineatus (aster leafhopper)
Lineage: Eukaryota; Metazoa; Arthropoda; Insecta; Hemiptera; Cicadellidae
Exons: 2
Source: RefSeq, a predicted model, not a curated record